GCCGAGGCGGGGCAGUGUCAAGAUGUCGGCGGCGGUCCCGGAGCUGAAGCAGAUCAGCCGGGUGGAGGCUAUGCGCCUUGGGCCGGGCUGGAGCCACUCGUGCCACGCCAUGCUGUACGCCGCCAACCCCGGGCAGCUCUUCGGCCGCAUCCCUAUGCGCUUCUCGGUGCUGAUGCAGAUGCGCUUCGACGGGCUGCUGGGUUUUCCCGGGGGCUUCGUGGACCGGCGCUUUUGGUCUCUGGAGGACGGUUUGAACCGGGUGCUGGGCCUGGGCCUGGGCUGCCUGCGCCUCACAGAGGCCGACUACCUGAGCUCUCACCUGACCGAGGGCCCGCACCGCGUCGUGGCGCACCUGUACGCACGGCAGCUGACCCUGGAGCAGCUGCACGCCGUGGAAAUCAGCGCGGUGCAUUCGCGCGAUCACGGCCUGGAGGUGCUGGGGCUUGUGCGAGUCCCACUUUACACCCAAAAGGACCGAGUCGGUGGCUUUCCCAACUUCCUGAGCAACGCCUUUACCAGCACCGCCAAGUAUCAGCUGCUCUUUGCGCUCAAGGUGCUCAACAUGAUGCCGGAAGAGAAGCUGGCUGAGGCUUUGGCAGCUGCCACUGAGAAGCAAAAGAAAGCCUUGGAGAAGCUCCUCCCAUCUUCCUCCUGAGCACAGGCUGCAGGCAGCUCCAGGACAUGGUAUGGAAGCACUGGCCAGGUGUGCAGAAGGACAACCGCAGAGCCACCACAGACACGAAGGUCACCACUGGCAGUCUCCUAUGGCCCGAUGUCCGGAAGGACCCCUCCGUGAAGCUAACAAAGUUUCCACAGCACCUGCUCGGCCUGGUCGCUCUCCGUGAGGGUCAGGAAGAUGCGGAGGUCCACGUCCUGCUCCUCGAACACCUGCAGCACACUUUCUGCGAGGAGAGGGCUUCUGUUGCACCGGGUAGACAAGGUGUCCGUGAAGUCAGACGCAGUUCUGUAAGCUAGGGAGUCGUCCCACGCAGCCGGCAAUGCUGACUCUUUCAGAAAGAGACCCUGGGGAGCCCCUGGCAUGGCCGUCACAGUGACCCUGGCCCUGCGGAGGGAGCGUGGGGCGCAGGCACGUCAGCCGCUUCUCCUGAAUCCACAUUUCCAAGUUGCUCCAAGCUUUUGGGUGAUUCAGAGUUUUGAAAAAAGUUAUUCUGACUACUUCUGCCGGUUUAUUGCCUUUGAUGGAGGAGCCAACUUUCAAAGGUUGUUACUCUGCCAUUUUCCUUAACCUACUUUCUCAAACAGCCUUAAGAUCUCACCACCACCACCCCUCUCCCAUCAACAUGUAUUUAAGGAAUUGAAAGAUGUCGCUGUUCACCGAGCCCAGAAACAAGGCCCUGGAGAGAGCUCCCUGGAGGGGCCACACAGAGAAGCCGGCAAAACUGCGGCUUCCAGUGACCAGCAGAGCUGUGACCUUAAUAAAUGGUGAAAAUGUA
RNA transcript from Enhydra lutris kenyoni (northern sea otter), 1454 nucleotides. It is a transcript of the gene named nudix hydrolase 16 like 1, with no coding region annotated. The record is from RefSeq and is a predicted model, not a curated record. The transcript has 6 exons. NCBI's taxonomy places the organism in Eukaryota, Metazoa, Chordata, Mammalia, Carnivora, Mustelidae.